CCUACGGGUGGCAGCAGUGGGGAAUAUUGGACAAUGGGCGAAAGCCUGAUCCAGCCAUGCCGCGUGUGUGAAGAAGGCCUUCGGGUUGUAAAGCACUUUCAGUGGGGAAGAAAGCCUUGGGGCUAAUACCCUCGAGGAAGGACAUCACCCACAGAAGAAGCACCGGCUAACUCCGUGCCAGCAGCCGCGGUAAUACGGAGGGUGCGAGCGUUAAUCGGAAUUACUGGGCGUAAAGCGCGCGUAGGCGGUCUGAUAAGCCGGUUGUGAAAGCCCCGGGCUCAACCUGGGAACGGCAUCCGGAACUGGCAGGCUAGAGUGCUGGAGAGGAAGGUAGAAUUCCCGGUGUAGCGGUGAAAUGCGUAGAGAUCGGGAGGAAUACCAGUGGCGAAGGCGGCCUUCUGGACUGACACUGACGCUGAGGUGCGAAAGCGUGGGUAGCAAACAGGAUUAGAUACCCGAGUAGUC
This 465-nucleotide ribosomal RNA is filed under the name Vreelandella stevensii. RNAcentral's name for it is "partial 16S ribosomal RNA". It matches the Rfam family "Bacterial small subunit ribosomal RNA", at positions 338 to 795 of the family's 1533-position model. The record is from RNAcentral. Lineage: Bacteria; Pseudomonadati; Pseudomonadota; Gammaproteobacteria; Oceanospirillales; Halomonadaceae.